This 254-nucleotide ribosomal RNA is filed under the name uncultured bacterium. RNAcentral describes it as "partial 16S ribosomal RNA". It matches the Rfam family "Bacterial small subunit ribosomal RNA", at positions 524 to 776 of the family's 1533-position model. The record is from RNAcentral.
UACGUAGGUGGCAAGCGUUGUCCGGAUUUACUGGGCGUAAAGCGUGCGCAGGCGGUUAUGCAAGACCGAUGUGAAAUCCCCGGGCUUAACCUGGGAACUGCAUUGGUGACUGGCAGGCUUUGAGUGUGGCAGAGGGAGGUAGAAUUCCACGUGUAGCAGUGAAAUGCGUAGAGAUGUGGAGGAAUACCGAUGGCGAAGGCGGGUAGCUGGGCCAACACUGACGCUGAGACGCGAAAGCUAGGGGAGCAAACGGG